UACAGAGGUGGCAAGCGUUGUUCGGAAUUACUGGGCGUAAAGGGCUCGUAGGCGGCCAACUAAGUCAGACGUGAAAUCCCCAGGCUCAACUUGGGAACUGCGUCUGAUACUGGAUGGCUUGAAUUCGGGAGAGGGAUGCAGAAUUCCAGGUGUAGCGGUGAAAUGCGUAGAUAUCUGGAGGAAUACCGGUGGCGAAGGCGGCAUCCUGGACCGACAUUGACGCUGAUGAGCGAAAGCUAGGGGAGCAAACGGG
This 253-nucleotide ribosomal RNA is filed under the name uncultured bacterium. RNAcentral's name for it is "partial 16S ribosomal RNA". It matches the Rfam family "Bacterial small subunit ribosomal RNA", at positions 524 to 776 of the family's 1533-position model. The record is from RNAcentral.